This 371-nucleotide long non-coding RNA is filed under the name Ananas comosus (pineapple). RNAcentral's name for it is "long non-coding RNA (ACOM_LNC037525)". Lineage: Eukaryota; Viridiplantae; Streptophyta; Magnoliopsida; Poales; Bromeliaceae. The record is from RNAcentral.
UGAAAGUUUUUUUUAUUUUUUUGUCUUUUUUUUUUUUAUUUUUUAUGGAGGUUGGUUGUAGGUUAAGCAUAUAUUUUUCUCUAUUCAGAAAGUUUAGAGCUGGAGCCAUAUUUGCCUGUUUGUGUUACCGAAAGUGAAGUUUAAGUUAAAGUAGGCUUACGACUAAACAAAAGUCGCGAUAAAAAUUAUUUUUCUUUCGUCAUUUGUUUGUAUAUAUAGCCGUGGAGUUGAAAUUUUUUUUACAUCUAUUAUUUGUUUGGUCGAAAAUAAACGGUAUAAAAGUUGGAAGUAUGUAAUUUUUUUAUUUUUUAUUUUUUCGUCAUUGACUUUAGACUGAGUGGACCGAAAUCAAUUACACUAUUUUGAAAAUU